CAAUAGCGUAUAUUAAAGUUGUUGCAGUUAAAACGCUCGUAGUCGGAUUUCGGGGCGGGUCCGCCGGUCUGCCGAUGGGUACGCACUGGCGGGCGCGUCCUUCCUUCCGGAGACUGGCCCUACUCUUAGCUGAGCGGGGUCGGGAGUCGGAUCGUUUACUUUGAAAAAAUCAGAGUGUUUCAAGCAGGCAGCUCGCUCUUGCAUGGAUUAGCAUGGGAUAAUGAAAUAGGACUUUGGUGCUAUUUUGUUGGUUUCGAACACCGAAGUAAUGAUUAACAGGGACAGUCAGGGGCACUCGUAUUCCGCCGAGAGAGGUGGAAUUCUCAGACCAGCGGAAGACGAACCACUGCGAAAGCAUUUGCCAGGGAUGUUUUCACUGA
RNAcentral lists this ribosomal RNA (380 nucleotides) under uncultured eukaryote. RNAcentral's name for it is "partial 18S ribosomal RNA". It matches the Rfam family "Eukaryotic small subunit ribosomal RNA", at positions 592 to 976 of the family's 1831-position model. The record is from RNAcentral.